RNAcentral lists this ribosomal RNA (488 nucleotides) under uncultured bacterium. RNAcentral's name for it is "partial 16S ribosomal RNA". It matches the Rfam family "Bacterial small subunit ribosomal RNA", at positions 28 to 507 of the family's 1533-position model. The record is from RNAcentral.
GACGAACGCUGGCGGCGUGCUUAACACAUGCAAGUCGAACGGAAAGGCCCUGCUUUUGUGGGGUGCUCGAGUGGCGAACGGGUGAGUAACACGUGAGUAACCUGCCCUUGACUUUGGGAUAACUUCAGGAAACUGGGGCUAAUACCGGAUAGGAGCUCCUGCUGCAUGGUGGGGGUUGGAAAGUUUCGGCGGUUGGGGAUGGACUCGCGGCUGAUCAGCUUGUUGGUGGGGUAGUGGCUUACCAAGGCGUUGACGGGUAGCCGGCCUGAGAGGGUGAUCGGCCACACUGGGACUGAGACACGGUGCGGACUCCUACGGGAGGCAGCAGUGGGGAAGAUUGGACGAGGGGGGGAAGCCGGAUCCAGCCAUACCGCGUGGGUGAAGAAGGCCUUCGGGUUGUAAAGGCCUGUUGUGGGGAAAGAAAAGCAGCAGGUUAAUACCCCGCUGUGCUGACGGUACCCAAAGAAUAAGCACCGGCUAACUUCGUG